This 430-nucleotide ribosomal RNA is filed under the name Pseudomonadota bacterium. RNAcentral's name for it is "Proteobacteria bacterium partial 16S ribosomal RNA". It matches the Rfam family "Bacterial small subunit ribosomal RNA", at positions 355 to 776 of the family's 1533-position model. The record is from RNAcentral. Lineage: Bacteria; Pseudomonadati; Pseudomonadota.
UGGGGAAUAUUGGACAAUGGGGGGAACCCUGAUCCAGCCAUGCCGCGUGUGUGAAGAAGGCCUUAUGGUUGUAAAGCACUUUAAGCGAGGAGGAGGGUACUGGUAUUAAUACUACCAGCUACUGGACGUUACUCGCAGAAUAAGCACCGGCUAACUCUGUGCCCGCAGCCGCGGUAAUACAGAGGGUGCGAGCGUUAAUCGGAUUUACUGGGCGUAAAGCGUGCGUAGGCGGCUAAUUGAGUCGGAUGUGAAAUCCCCGAGCUUAACUUGGGAAGUGCAUGCGAUACUGGUUAGCUAGAGUGUGGGAGAGGAUGGGAGAAUUCCAGGUGUAGCGGUGAAAUGCGUAGAGAUGUGGAGGAAUACCGAUGGCGAAGGCAGGCAUCUGGCCGAACACUGACGCAGAGGUACGAAAGAAUGGGGAGCAAACAGG